UAAAAAGCCGUCCCAGUUCAGAUCGCAGUCUGNAACCCAGUCGGAAUCGCUAGUAAUCGCGGAUCAGCAUGCCGCGGUGAAUACGUUCCCGGGCCUUGUACACACCGCCCGUCACACCAUGGGAGUCGGGAACACCCGAAGUCCGUAGCCUAACCGCAAGGGGGGCGCGGCCGAAGGUGGGUUCGAUAAUUGGGGUGAAGUCGUAACAAGGUAUC
RNAcentral lists this ribosomal RNA (215 nucleotides) under uncultured bacterium. Its description in RNAcentral is "partial 16S ribosomal RNA". It matches the Rfam family "Bacterial small subunit ribosomal RNA", at positions 1276 to 1500 of the family's 1533-position model. The record is from RNAcentral.